GACGAACGCUGGCGGCGUGCUUAACACAUGCAAGUCGAACGGAAAGGCCCUGCUUUUGUGGGGUGCUCGAGUGGCGAACGGGUGAGUAACACGUGAGUACCUGCCCUUGACUUUGGGAUAACUUCAGGAAACUGGGGCUAAUACCGGAUAGGAGCUCCUGCUGCCUUGUGGGGGUUGGAAAGUUUCGGCGGUUGGGGAUGGACUCGCGGCUUAUCAGCUUGUUGGUGGGGUAGUGGCUUACCAAGGCUUUGACGGGUAGCCGGCCUGAGAGGGUGACCGGCCACAUUGGGACUGAGAUACGGCCCAGACUCCUACGGGAGGCAGCAGUGGGGAAUAUUGCACAAUGGGCGGAAGCCUGAUGCAGCAACGCCGCGUGCGGGAUGACGGCCUUCGGGUUGUAAACCGCUUUCGCCUGUGACGAAGCGUGAGUGACGGUAAUGGGUAAAGAAGCACCGGCUAACUACGUG
Molecule: ribosomal RNA, 467 nt
Filed under: uncultured bacterium
Lineage: Bacteria
Description: partial 16S ribosomal RNA
Rfam family: Bacterial small subunit ribosomal RNA
Source: RNAcentral